GUGGCUGUAGCUCAAUUGGUAGAGCAUCCGGUUGUGGCCCGGAAGGUCGCGGGUUCAAACCCCGUCAGCCACC
Molecule: transfer RNA, 73 nt
Filed under: Elusimicrobiota bacterium
Lineage: Bacteria; Pseudomonadati; Elusimicrobiota
Also listed under: 1 other name
Description: Elusimicrobia bacterium (anaerobic digester metagenome) tRNA-His
Rfam family: tRNA
About the family: Transfer RNA (tRNA) molecules are approximately 80 nucleotides in length.
Source: RNAcentral